This 490-nucleotide ribosomal RNA is filed under the name uncultured bacterium. RNAcentral's name for it is "partial 16S ribosomal RNA". It matches the Rfam family "Bacterial small subunit ribosomal RNA", at positions 30 to 507 of the family's 1533-position model. The record is from RNAcentral.
AUUGAACGCUGGCGGCAGGCCUAACACAUGCAAGUCGAACGGUAACAGGAAGAAGCUUGCUUCUUUGCUGACGAGUGGCGGACGGGUGAGUAAUGUCUGGGAAACUGCCUGAUGGAGGGGGAUAACUACUGGAAACGGUAGCUAAUACCGCAUAACGUCGCAAGACCAAAGAGGGGGGCCUUCGGGCCUCUUGCCAUCGGAUGUGCCCAGAUGGGAUUAGCUAGUAGGUGGGGUAACGGCUCACCUAGGCGACGAUCCCUAGCUGGUCUGAGAGGAUGACCAGCCACACUGGAACUGAGACACGGUCCAGACUCCUACGGGAGGCAGCAGUGGGGAAUAUUGCACAAUGGGCGCAAGCCUGAUGCAGCCAUGCCACGUGUAUGAAGAAGGCCUUCAGGUUGUAAAGUACUUUCAGCGGGGAGGAAGGGAGUAAAGUUAAUACCUUUGCUCAUUGACGUUACCCGCAGAAGAAGCACCGGCUAACUCCGUG